Molecule: ribosomal RNA, 301 nt
Filed under: uncultured bacterium
Lineage: Bacteria
Description: partial 16S ribosomal RNA
Rfam family: Bacterial small subunit ribosomal RNA
Source: RNAcentral
CAGUAGCCACGGGAAUACGAAGGGGGCUAGCGUUGCUCGGAAUGGCUGGGCGUAAAGGGCGCGUAGGCGGUUUUGACAGUCAGAUGUGAAAUUCCUGGGCUUAACCCGGGGGCUGCAUUUGAGACGUCAAGACUAGAGUGUGAGAGAGGGUUGUGGAAUUCCCAGUGUAGAGGUGAAAUUCGUAGAUAUUGGGAAGAACACCGGUGGCGAAGGCGGCAACCUGGCUCAUUACUGACGCUGAGGCGCGAAAGCGUGGGGAGCAAACAGGAUUAGAUACCCGCGUAGUCCCUGUCUCUUAUAC